AGUGAACGCUGGCGGUAGGCCUAACACAUGCAAGUCGAACGGCAGCACAGUAAGAGCUUGCUCUUACGGGUGGCGAGUGGCGGACGGGUGAGGAAUACAUCGGAAUCUACUUUUUCGUGGGGGAUAACGUAGGGAAACUUACGCUAAUACCGCAUACGACCUACGGGUGAAAGCAGGGGAUCUUCGGACCUUGCGCGAUUGAAUGAGCCGAUGUCGGAUUAGCUAGUUGGCGGGGUAAAGGCCCACCAAGGCGACGAUCCGUAGCUGGUCGGAGAGGAUGAUCAGCCACACUGGAACUGAGACACGGUCCAGACUCCUACGGGAGGCAGCAGUGGGGAAUAUUGGACAAUGGGCGCAAACCUGAUCCAGCCAUACCGCGUGGGUGAAGAAGGCCUUCGGGUUGUAAAGCCCUUUUGUUGGGAAAGAAAGGCAGCAGGUUAAUACCCCGCUGUUCUGACGGUACCCAAAGAAUAAGCACCGGCUAACUUCGUG
RNAcentral lists this ribosomal RNA (492 nucleotides) under uncultured bacterium. Its description in RNAcentral is "partial 16S ribosomal RNA". It matches the Rfam family "Bacterial small subunit ribosomal RNA", at positions 29 to 507 of the family's 1533-position model. The record is from RNAcentral.